UACGUAGGGUGCAAGCGUUGUCCGGAAUUAUUGGGCGUAAAGAGCUCGUAGGCGGCUUGUCGCGUCGGUUGUGAAAGCCCGGGGCUUAACCCUGGGUCUGCAGUCGAUACGGGCAGGCUAGAGUUCGGUAGGGGAGACUGGAAUUCCUGGUGUAGCGGUGAAAUGCGCAGAUAUCAGGAGGAACACCGGUGGCGAAGGCGGGUCUCUGGGCCGAUACUGACGCUGAGGAGCGAAAGCGUGGGGAGCGAACAGG
This 253-nucleotide ribosomal RNA is filed under the name uncultured bacterium. RNAcentral describes it as "partial 16S ribosomal RNA". It matches the Rfam family "Bacterial small subunit ribosomal RNA", at positions 524 to 776 of the family's 1533-position model. The record is from RNAcentral.